This 236-nucleotide long non-coding RNA is filed under the name Elaeis guineensis (African oil palm). RNAcentral describes it as "long non-coding RNA (EGUI_LNC015780)". Lineage: Eukaryota; Viridiplantae; Streptophyta; Magnoliopsida; Arecales; Arecaceae. The record is from RNAcentral.
ACCCCAGGUCAAUUGCUGAAGAUGAUGACAUGGACAUGGAAAAACUAGUGGAGGUCCAUUGCAGUCUGUCUCACUUUCUUCCCUCUUUGCUCAAGCUACACUGGACAUUUGGAUGUUAGAGGAUGCUGCCUGUUGUAUCUACUGUUAGAAUUUUAUGUCUCGAGAUUUAAUCCAUAUUGAGCCCAUAAUGAAGUCCGCGACGAUGAACGGAGUCCAACGAGCCCAAGAUUAGUCCA